RNAcentral lists this ribosomal RNA (491 nucleotides) under uncultured bacterium. RNAcentral describes it as "partial 16S ribosomal RNA". It matches the Rfam family "Bacterial small subunit ribosomal RNA", at positions 28 to 507 of the family's 1533-position model. The record is from RNAcentral.
GAUGAACGCUAGCUACAGGCUUAACACAUGCCAGUCGAGGGGAAACGACAUUGAAGCUUGCUUCGAUGGUCGUCGACCGGCGCACGGGUGAGUAACGCGUAUCCAACCUGCCUCUGACCAAGGGAUAACCCGUCGAAAGUCGGCCUAAUACCUUAUGCAGUCGUCGGAAGUCAUCUGAUGACGACGAAAGAUUUCAUCGGUGAGAGAUGGGGAUGCGUCUGAUUAGCUUGUUGGCGGGGUAACGGCCCACCAAGGCAACGGUCAGUAGGGGUUCUGAGAGGGAGGUCCCCCACAAUUGAACUGCGACACGGUCCAAAGUCCUACGGGAGGCCAGAGUGUGGAAUACUUGUAAAUGGGGGAGGGCCUUAACCAGGCAAGUUGCGUGGAGGAUGUCGGCCGUAUGGGGUGUAACACUCUUUUAUGAAGGGAUAAAGUGAGGGACGUGUCCUUCAUUGAAGGUACCGCAUGAAUAAGGAACGGCUAAUUCCGUG